Molecule: ribosomal RNA, 497 nt
Filed under: uncultured Glomeromycotina
Lineage: Eukaryota; Fungi; Glomeromycota
Description: partial small subunit ribosomal RNA
Rfam family: Eukaryotic small subunit ribosomal RNA
Source: RNAcentral
CCAAUAGCGUAUAUUAAAGUUGUUGCAGUUAAAAAGCUCGUAGUUGAAUUUCGGGAUCAGUAUGUUGGUCGUGCUUCGGUACGUACUGUCAUUACUGGUUUCUACCUUCUGAAGAACCACGAUGUCAUUAAUUUGGUGUCAUGGGGAAUCAGGACUGUUACUUUGAAAAAAUUAGAGUGUUUAAAGCAGGCUCGCGCUUGAAUACAUUAGCAUGGAAUAAUGAAAUAGGACGUUUGAUUCUAUUUUGUUGGUUUCUAGGAUCGACGUAAUGAUUAAUAGGGAUAGUUGGGGGCAUUAGUAUUCAAUUGUCAGAGGUGAAAUUCUUGGAUUUAUUGAAGACUAACUACUGCGAAAGCAUUUGCCAAGGAUGUUUUCAUUAAUCAAGAACGAAAGUUAGGGGAUCGAAGACGAUCAGAUACCGUCGUAGUCUUAACCAUAAACUAUGCCGACUAGGGAUCGGAUGAUGUUAUUUUUAAUGACUCAUUCGGCGCCUUACG